CAGUCGCCGCGGGAAUACGUAGGGUGCAAGCGUUAAUCGGAAUUACUGGGCGUAAAGCGUGCGCAGGCGGUUUGUUAAGACAGAUGUGAAAUCCCCGGGCUCAACCUGGGAACUGCAUUUGUGACUGGCAAGCUAGAGUGUGGCAGAGGGGGGUGGAAUUCCGCGUGUAGCAGUGAAAUGCGUAGAUAUGCGGAGGAACACCGAUGGCGAAGGCAGCCCCCUGGGCCAACACUGACGCUCAUGCACGAAAGCGUGGGGAGCAAACAGGAUUAGAUACCCCUGUAGUCCCUGUCUCUUAUAC
This 301-nucleotide ribosomal RNA is filed under the name uncultured bacterium. RNAcentral's name for it is "partial 16S ribosomal RNA". It matches the Rfam family "Bacterial small subunit ribosomal RNA", at positions 509 to 807 of the family's 1533-position model. The record is from RNAcentral.